UCCAGAGGGUGCGGGCGUUAAUCGGUAUUACUGGGCGUAAAGCGUGCGUAGACGGUCAUGUAAGUCGGGUGUGAAAUCCCCGGGCUCAACCUGGGAAUUGCAUUCGAGACUGCGUGGCUAGGGUGCGGAAGAGGGAAGCGGAAUUUCCGGUGUAGCGGUGAAAUGCGUAGAUCUCGGAAGGAACAUCGGUGGCGAAAGCGGCUCACUGGUCCAGCACCGACGUUCAGGCACGAAAGCGUGGGGAGCAAACAGG
Molecule: ribosomal RNA, 253 nt
Filed under: uncultured bacterium
Lineage: Bacteria
Description: partial 16S ribosomal RNA
Rfam family: Bacterial small subunit ribosomal RNA
Source: RNAcentral